RNAcentral lists this non-coding RNA (199 nucleotides) under Clostridium sp. Its description in RNAcentral is "T-box sequence". It matches the Rfam family "T-box leader". Rfam says of the family: Uncharged tRNA acts as the effector for transcription antitermination of genes in the T-box leader family. T-boxes are found upstream of many aminoacyl-tRNA synthetase genes and some amino acid biosynthetic genes usually in Gram-positive bacteria. Lineage: Bacteria; Bacillati; Bacillota; Clostridia; Eubacteriales; Clostridiaceae. The record is from RNAcentral.
ACAAAAACGAUGACGGAGACAAGUAAGCAAACAUAUGCUUUCAGAGAAUGGGAGUUUGGUGGGAACCCAUAAGCUAAAGUUUGUUGAAAAUCACUCCAGAGUUGCAGACUGAAAUUAUUUAGAGUAAGUUGUGCCGGUAAUGCCGUUAUAAUCAUAAGUAAUAAUUUGGGUGGUACCGCGACAGACAUUCGCCCCAUAA